Molecule: microRNA, 23 nt
Filed under: Dasypus novemcinctus (nine-banded armadillo)
Lineage: Eukaryota; Metazoa; Chordata; Mammalia; Cingulata; Dasypodidae
Description: Dno-Mir-1247_5p (mature (guide))
Source: RNAcentral
ACCCGUCCCGUGCGUCCCCGGAC